AUGGAGAAGAGGAAGAAGGAGGAGGAGGAGGAGAAUCCGCCGGCAGCGGGGAGCCUCUGGGACGACCUCCUGCCUGAGAUCCACCGGGAGAUCCUGUCGCGGGUGCCGUACCGGUCGCUCUGCCGCUUCAAAUGCGUGUCCACGGCGUGGCUGACGCUCACCGGCUUCUUCUGCUACUCCCAAGUGGACGUCGGCGGCGGCCGGCGCCAUUACGGCGUCAGCUUCCUCAACCUAUCCGGGUGGGGCCGGCCGAUGGUCGACGACCCCUCCCUCAGCUUCGUGCGGGGCUACCGCCACGUCACGCCCAUUCACUGCUGCAGCGGCAUUCUCAUCUGCUACUGCUGGAAGUUUGACAUGAGCGACGAGGCGGAUUUUGUCGUGUGCAACCCUGCCACCAAGGAGAUCUGGGCCGCGCUGCCGGUGCCCCAGAAUGAGAUGAUGACGCGCCUCAACACCGCCCGCCUGUGCUUUGACCCGGCUAUUCCCCGCCGCUUCAAGGUGUUUGUGUUCGUGCAAAGUUUCGCUGGGGUUCAGAGGGUGGAGGUCUACUCUUCAGACACCGGGCAGUGGACCUCCGUUGGGAGCGCGUGGAGCUCCGAGAACCUCAUGAUUGCCGAGGAAUCGGGAUGCGUCUACUUCAAUGGAUCUCUGCAUCUGGCUGUUUGCCAUCCUGUGGUCAAGGUGGUGGACUGGGAGGGACGCCUAUACACCGGGCAUGUAGAAAAUGAAGGUAGAUGCCGGCUCUUGGUGUGGGUUCUCGAGGAUCAUGCUAGCGGACUGUGGACCCUGAAGUGUACUGCCAGCAUUCUUGAACUGCUAGGAAGCCCUUGCCGUGCACCCAACGAAUUCUACCAGGCGGUUGCGAUCCAUCCAGACUGCAAUCUGAUAUUCCUUGAAGAUGCGGGGCAGGAAGCAUUGCUUAUGUCCUACAAUAUGGAUACCGGUAAACUGGAUAUUGUCUGCUCUCUUGGAGACCGCUGGGCGCAAAGAUUUCACCCCUACAUUCCCUGUUUUGUGGAGAAGCCGCCCGUUCCUCAGUGA
This 1041-nucleotide ribosomal RNA is filed under the name Triticum aestivum (bread wheat). RNAcentral describes it as "partial small subunit ribosomal RNA". The record is from RNAcentral. Lineage: Eukaryota; Viridiplantae; Streptophyta; Magnoliopsida; Poales; Poaceae.